GAUGAAGAACGUAGCGAAAUGCGAUAAGUAAUGUGAAUUGCAGAAUUCAGUGAAUCAUCGAAUCUUUGAACGCACAUUGCGCCCGCCAGUAUUCUGGCGGGCAUGCCUGUUCGAGCGUCAUUUCAACCAUCAAGCCCCCCCGGCUUGUGUUGGGGACCUGCGGCUACCGCAGGCCCUGAAAAGCAGUGGCGGGCUCGCUGUCACACCGAGCGUAGUAGAUCUCAUCUCGCUCAGGGCGUGCUGCGGGUUCCGGCCGUUAAACCACCUUCAUAACCCAAGGUUGACCUCGGAUCAGGUAGGAAGACCCGCUGAACUUAAGCAUAUCAAUAAGCGGAGGA
This 338-nucleotide unclassified non-coding RNA is filed under the name soil metagenome. Its description in RNAcentral is "partial contains 5.8S ribosomal RNA, internal transcribed spacer 2, and large subunit ribosomal RNA". The stretch from base 1 to 120 matches the Rfam family "5.8S ribosomal RNA", at positions 35 to 154 of the family's 154-position model. The record is from RNAcentral.